GCCCCAAUAAUCACUAACUCAUUUUUCUCCCCCACUAGUCAUGUUCAUCUUCUUUUUUUUUUGGCCCUUUAUGAGGGAAGUUUGCAUUUUCUUGAUACAUUUGUGUUCUCCAUUUUAAUUUUCCAGGGAAAUGUAGUGUUGCACCCUGGGUAUCUUUGCUUGGCCUUUUCUGGUUCUGGACUUUUCUGCUGAAGGAAACCCCUAAUUGGAGUUCCUGACUGAGUGGACCACCUACCAGACUGCCUCCCAUGCUCUGCAGGAAGGUCCAGAAGAAAUAGACAUGGACUGGGAAUCAGAAACACAGAAAAUACAAAUUCUGACCUUAUUAGUUCUACCAGCUGUGACACUAUGAGUGAGUCAUUUAUCCUGUGCCUGAGAAACUGAACUUGGCAGUAAGGAAAUAGACCUCGGGGAACCCAGCUGCCUGGAUUGAAGCACCAGCUGUUUCUAGGACUGACUGGAAGGACAGCUGCCCAUCUCCUGGAGGCUUCAGGCUUGAGGGAUAUUCUAACAUUUCCACUAGGGGAAGAGAGCCACUCCUCAGCACUACCACUCUAACAGGCUGGCUCAUUGCCAACUAAAUCCACGAAUUCCCAGGGUUACACUGUGAUGAUUCAGUUCCUUUACCACAAGGUAGAUUUCUACUCUCAGCCUCAAUUGAUCUUUUUUCUCUUUGCCAAAAUCCUUUAUAAUAUUGGCAAUAUUUCAGUCUUCAAAUUAAUUGUGUGUUUCCACUCACAUAGUAACCUACAACUCAGUGAUACUGGUGUUCCAAGACUAUUAGUUCAAAUCCCAUUGAGAUCACUAAACGUCCUAUGACUUUAAAAUGGUCACACUUUUGAAGUUUAGCAGAGAAUAUGUUAUUGGAUACGGCCACUCUAUUAUUUGCGUGUAUAAUCCUGUUUUCCAUGUUUACAUUGGAAUUUCAACUAAUCUUGCUUUUAAGUGCAUCUAUUUUGGCCACACUAUUCUUCAUGAGUUGAAGAAUCUCCCCAAAUACAUACUCAUUUUUCUUUGUAUAAACAUUUAUUUAGUCUGGUCCAGGCACUUUUCUAGCAGCAGAGUACUCAGGGAUUGAUAGAAUAUAUUGUCUGCUCUCCAGGUAGAUCUAGUCUAAUGCAUGAGGGAAAUGUAAGAAAAUAAAAACAAGUAGCUAAAGGAGCAUGUCCUGUCCCAAACCCCACAUCCUUCUCUAAAGCUAUUUUUGGAUUACGUAGAUGCAGAGAAUUGAUUAUAAUUCCUAUAAAAUAAAGUAUCAUAAAAUAUG
Long non-coding RNA from Felis catus (domestic cat), 1267 nucleotides. RefSeq lists it as uncharacterized. NCBI's taxonomy places the organism in Eukaryota, Metazoa, Chordata, Mammalia, Carnivora, Felidae. The record is from RefSeq and is a predicted model, not a curated record. The transcript has 2 exons.